CGCCUCUUGAACCACUAUAAGAGGUCCAGCCUGCCCAGUGACACCGUUCAACGGCCGCGGUAUCCUAACCGUGCGAAGGUAGCGUAAUCAUUUGUUUCCUAAAUAGGGACUUGAAUGAAUGGCUUCACGAAGGUUGCACUGUCUCCUCUCCCAAAUCAGUGAAACUAAUCUUCCCGUGAAGAAGCGGGAAUAAAAAUAUAAGACGAGAAGACCCUAUGGAGCUUUAAACUAAAUAACAACUGUUACCCAACCAUGAAAUCUCAGCAAACUUCAAUAAAGUGUACAUCAUGAUUAUUAGUUUUAGGUUGGGGCGACCACGGAGUAAAAACUAACCUCCAAGCUGAACGAGCUAAGCCCUGAGCAAAAAGCCACAACUUUACGCACCAAAAAAUUGACUACUUUGACCCAAUAUUUUGACCAACGAACCAAGUUACCCUAGGGAUAACAGCGCUAUCCACUUCAAGAGCUCCUAUCGACAAGUGGGCUUACGACCUCGAUGUUGGAUCAGGGUAUCCUGGUGGUGCAGCCGCUACCAAUGGUUCGUUUGUUCAACGAUUAAACCCCU
RNAcentral lists this ribosomal RNA (565 nucleotides) under Nesorohyla kanaima (Kanaima treefrog). RNAcentral's name for it is "partial 16S ribosomal RNA". It matches the Rfam family "Bacterial large subunit ribosomal RNA", at positions 1832 to 2597 of the family's 2925-position model. Lineage: Eukaryota; Metazoa; Chordata; Amphibia; Anura; Hylidae. The record is from RNAcentral.